Molecule: unclassified non-coding RNA, 292 nt
Filed under: plant metagenome
Description: partial contains small subunit ribosomal RNA, internal transcribed spacer 1, and 5.8S ribosomal RNA
Source: RNAcentral
UUUCCGUAGGUGAACCUGCGGAAGGAUCAUUAUUGAAUAAACCUGAUGUGGUUGUAGCUGGCCCUUUCGGGAGCAUGUGCACACCCGUCGUCUUUAUCUUUCCACCUGUCCACCUUUUGUAGACCUGGAUGUAACACUUUCCGAGGCAACUCGGUCGGGAGGAAUGCUGUCAGCUUUCCUUGAAUGUCCAGGCCUAUGUUUUCAUAUACCCCAAAGAAUGUAACAGAAUGUAUUAUUGGGCCUUGUGCCUAUAAACUAUAUACAACUUUCAGCAACGGAUCUCUUGGCUCUC